CACAGCGCCACAUCAGAGCUGCACCUCCAGGACCAGGACCUAAACAGAAGUAUCAGCUGCCCCGGACCUCCAGGACCUCCAGACGAGUCAUGAAGCUGCUCCUCCUGCUGGCAGUUGCUGCCAGCCAGAUGGAGCUCUCUGCCUCUCAGAUUGUUACUCUGAAUGCUCCUGGUCGAAACAUCAACAUCAGCACCAUGCCCAUCACUUUCUAUGGAAAAACAUACACAUGGGUACACGUGAGUACAAUGAACCCCUGCCUGUGUUUCCUGUAAUCAUCCAGCACACACACUGACUGCUGA
This is a long non-coding RNA of Trematomus bernacchii (emerald rockcod), 299 nucleotides long. RefSeq lists it as uncharacterized. The record is from RefSeq and is a predicted model, not a curated record. The transcript has 3 exons. Lineage: Eukaryota; Metazoa; Chordata; Actinopteri; Perciformes; Nototheniidae.